UACGAAGGGGGCGAGCGUUGUUCGGAUUUACUGGGCGUAAAGGGCGCGCAGGCGGCGAGUUUUGUCAGGCGUGAAAGCCCCGGGCUCAACCUGGGAAUUGCGCUUGAAACGGGCUUGCUAGAGAUCGGGAGAGGAGAGUGGAAUUCCCAGUGUAGAGGUGAAAUGCGUAGAUAUCGGGAGGAACACCUGUGGCGAAAGCGGCUCACUGGACAGUAACUGACGCUGAUGCACGAAAGCUAGGGGAGCAAACAGG
Molecule: ribosomal RNA, 253 nt
Filed under: uncultured bacterium
Lineage: Bacteria
Description: partial 16S ribosomal RNA
Rfam family: Bacterial small subunit ribosomal RNA
Source: RNAcentral